GCAAGUCGAGCGAGAAAGCACUUCGGUGCGAGUACAGCGGCGGACGGGUGAGUAACGCGUAGGAAUCUACCCAGUAGUGGGGGACAACAUGGUGAAAACCAUGCUAAUACCGCAUACGCCCCAAGGGGGAAAGCGGGGGAUCUUCGGACCUCGCGCUAUCGGAUGAGCCUGCGUUGGAUUAGCUAGUUGGUGGGGUAAAGGCCUACCAAGGCAACGAUCCAUAGCUGUUCUGAGAGGAAGAUC
RNAcentral lists this ribosomal RNA (243 nucleotides) under uncultured bacterium. RNAcentral's name for it is "partial 16S ribosomal RNA". It matches the Rfam family "Bacterial small subunit ribosomal RNA", at positions 57 to 305 of the family's 1533-position model. The record is from RNAcentral.